CCGAUCGACAACGACGAGCUGGUCAGCAACAUCCUCACUGGCCUCAACUACGACUACAACUCUGUGGUCUCAGCUGUCCUUGCACGAGCUGAGCCCAUUACGGUGAGCGAGCUGUAUACACAGCUUCUUUCUUUUGAUC
This is a small nucleolar RNA of Panicum virgatum (switchgrass), 139 nucleotides long. RefSeq annotates it as small nucleolar RNA Z247. NCBI's taxonomy places the organism in Eukaryota, Viridiplantae, Streptophyta, Magnoliopsida, Poales, Poaceae. The record is from RefSeq and is a predicted model, not a curated record. The transcript has a single exon.